RNAcentral lists this ribosomal RNA (275 nucleotides) under uncultured Ideonella sp. Its description in RNAcentral is "partial 16S ribosomal RNA". It matches the Rfam family "Bacterial small subunit ribosomal RNA", at positions 8 to 287 of the family's 1533-position model. Lineage: Bacteria; Pseudomonadati; Pseudomonadota; Betaproteobacteria; Burkholderiales; Sphaerotilaceae. The record is from RNAcentral.
AGAGUUUGAUCAUGGCUCAGAUUGAACGCUGGCGGCAUGCCUUACACAUGCAAGUCGAACGGUAACGCGGGGCAACCUGGCGACGAGUGGCGAACGGGUGAGUAAUGCAUCGGAACGUGCCCAGUAGUGGGGGAUAGCCCGGCGAAAGCCGGAUUAAUACCGCAUACGACCUGAGGGUGAAAGGGGGGGAUCGCAAGACCUCUCGCUAUUGGAGCGGCCGAUGUCAGAUUAGGUAGUUGGUGGGGUAAAGGCCUACCAAGCCGACGAUCUGUAGC